RNAcentral lists this long non-coding RNA (2764 nucleotides) under Mus musculus (house mouse). Its description in RNAcentral is "long non-coding RNA chr13:23557922-23560686". The record is from RNAcentral. Lineage: Eukaryota; Metazoa; Chordata; Mammalia; Rodentia; Muridae.
UUCAAAUUUGGGGAGUCCAUAAAAUGGAAAAAUGUUAGUAUGUGAAACGUCAAUAUUACUAUUUGUGGAUGGAUUAAAAAUUCAGGAAAAUAAGGAAAUGUCAUUUUUGAAUUUUUUUUUUAUUUUUUUAUUUAUUUUUUUGUUUUUUGGAGACAGGGUUUUUCUGUGUAGCUAGCCCUGGCUAUCCUGGAACUCACUCUGUAGUCCAGGCUAGCCUUGAACUCAGAGAUCCAUCUGCCUCUGCCUCCCAAAUGCUGGGAUUAAAGGCAUGUGCCACCACUGCCCAGCUAUUUUUGAAUUUACUUGCAUUUCUGCUAACAUUUCUGUGAGAUAAAGCUGUUGGUUACUCAUGAAUCAUAUUUUUUCUUAUUCAUUGUUGAAGGUCAUUGUCAUGGAACAUACUAUAACAACAAAAGACAUCUUAGUUAUAUAUAGCAAAGGAGCCUUUGGACUCCAAACCAUUGGUUAUUUAAAUACUUUAUUCUUCAGUAAUAAAACACUGAUAGUGUCAUAAUUUUAGGUGUACUGCAUAGUCUUUAUUCUAAGACCACAUUUAAACUUCACACUGUAGGAAGGAAUAUCCAUACAUGCACUGCUCAUGAUUUGUUUAGUUACCUGAAGUCUGUUAUCACAUGACUGACUGGCUCAGGUGGAAUGCUUCAGGCCUUUGGUAUUUUUUAAUCCUUCUGCAACAGAGGCAAGAUAAUACUGGAAAAGCACCAACAUCAUAAAUAUCAGAAAAAAAUAUUUGAUAUCUGAUCAGAGGGGCAGCACUAAACUUGUAAAGACUGACUGCUGACUCAAUUUCUCCACCCUGGACAACCAGAUAGGUUGGAUAGAUGGAGGACCAGUCUCUAGAAAGCUACAGGACUUGCUGCUUUUUCACAUCAUUGUGACAUCACAAACACAGGUUCAAGAGUCAAUUUCUAGAAAAACAAAAAAAUAAAAAACAAAAAAAACCAAAAAAACCCAAACCAACAAAAAGAUGCUAUUUUAAAUUUUCUGCAUGCGAGAGACAGAGCUGCUUAAAUCAUGUGCCACUGUGAACACUGUGUAGAUUUAUGAUUAUAGGAGAUGCGUAUGAUUUACCUUUGGUCUACUGUGUGGAGAAAUGCAGCCAGAUUUGUUAACAUUUCUUCUUUGCCUCUGUGCUACAUCUCUCUCCUGAGUAUGGACAGAACUCUUUAAGUGGUAAUGCUUCAUUUUGAUCAACUUUUGGAUAAGGGAGGUCUGUGGAAUUUUUAAAAUCAUCAUCAUAACUAGGACUGCAAGACUUAAGGAGGCUGGUGAAGAUGAAUGUUUUAAUAGUUGUUGCUUUGGGAAAAAUAGCGAGGUCUGGUUUUCUUUGGGGAUGAGUUUUUAAACCUUGCUUUGGGAGGAGGUGGAGAAAGGAGAGCGUUGAAGGUAAGAACUUUUAUUUCUGAAACUUCCUCUAAGACUUAGGUCAUUAUAUUAAUUUGAAGUUUGAAAUUAUUUUGAGGCAGGGUCUCAUUAUGUAUUUGGGAUGGAUAUAGAUGUAACUCCUGAUAUAGAACAUGUUGGCUUUUUACUAAUAGAGAUCCACCUGCCUUUGUUUACCAGUCUUGGGAUUAAAGGCCUCAUUUUGAAUUUUGAGACAGAUACUUCUCACUUAUUUCAUGAUAGACUCAAACUUGAUAUAUAGCCAAGGAUAAUCUUCAAUUUCUGGUCCUUUUCCCUCAAUUUCCCAAGUUUUGGGAUUACAGACUUUUGCUACCUUGCAAAUAUUCUGAGAGUUGAAUUUUGGGGGUUUAAAAUAAUUUUUAUACUUGUAAUUCUGAAAUGACUACACAACAUUCUGUGUCUCUCAGUCUAUGUCACAUGGAUUGUCAUCUUUUAGUAUCAGAGUGUAUGCACUACGUGUGUGCAUGUGCUGAUGAACAGUCUAGGUAUCGCCAUUAUUUUUCAUAAAUUUCAAUGUGGGAGAAAAUACUUAAAGUUGGAAGUACCAUGUUAGUUUUUUUUUUUUCCAAAUGAGAAUUUCAGCUUGCAGAGUGAACGUCUGAACUUUUUAAAAAAAGAUUUAUUUAUUUACUUUAUGCAUAUGAAUACACUGUAGCUGUCUUCAGAUAUACCAGGGAUGGCAUCGGACCACACUACCAAUGGUUGUAAGCCACUAUGUGGUUGUGGGGAAUUGCACUUGAUCUCUGCAACAGUAGUCAGUGAUCUUAACCCCUGAGCCAUCUCUCUAGCAGGAGAGCCUGAACUUUUACAGGUAUAUUUUUACAUUACAUGUUGGAAAUAAAGUAAUAAAGUAUUAUCAAUUAAAAAAAUAACUGAAUUGUGUAGUAUAAGAGAUACUCCAAAGUGCUUUUGUUAUGAGUUGUAUUGGGUUUUAAGAAGGUACAUAUAUAUUACAAGAUUCACCUGUGAUCUUAAUUGAAUUAUUUGAUGAUUCAUUCUAAAAGCAUUUGAGAGCACCAACUAUUACUUUUAUUGGUUGUGAAAAUUUGCAUUAGAUUUAGAAGCAAUUGAACUCUGGCAUCAUCCUUGAUAGGGUCGGCUUCUGAUUCCACCACUGAGUCCAUACUUAGUGUAUGGAAAAUAAAAGGAGGGAGGUAUCAGGGUUUUUUUAAAUUACAUUAGGGGGAAAUCCACCUUCUCUUUGCCAGAAAAAUGAAAUUGUGUUCAAACUUUGGCCUUAGUUAGACACAUGGCAUUCUAAUUUUACCUAAAAUUUAGAACACUUUUUAUUCAUCACUUUGCUAGACGACUCCUCCAGCCUCCACUCUCCACCUCCCAAGCC